GUCUUGUCAGUCUACCUUGGGGACCACAGACCCCAAGAGUGCCGAGUUUUCUGCAUUUAGGCCCUUGAGGUGUCUCAGGCACCGGCUCUGAGGAGCUGCUCAAUAACGCUGAUUGAGUGAACUUGAGGAGCCAAUGAGGCGCGAGGACACGAACCACAGGCAGGACACUGGUAGACACCUGGGGAGCUGGGGGAGUGGCCAGGUCCACGUGCAGGGCAGGGCGUGGGGAGCUGGCUCGUUCACUCACUCUGCGAAUGGUUUGCGAGCACUGCCGAGGGUCACUGUGGGCCCCAGGACACCGUGUCACCUGGAGGGCGGCCCCGCUCCAAGCAGCCUACAUUCUCAUGGCGGACUCAGAGCGCCAGAAAGCUGUGCUUGGCUGACCACGAGGAGGGGGCCUAGGAGCCAGGAGCAGCAGAGAGGACCCCAGCCUGGAGCGGUUGAGAGAGGCUCCCUGAGGAGAGCCUCCGCAACGCUACUGGACCUGCAUGACCUCUUCCCUUCUCCCACCGUCCCAGGAAGAAGGGGUUCUGGGACAAAUGCCUCUGUGUACAAGUCAUGGUCCCAUCCGUCACUGAGAAGAGACUCCUGGAAACAGGAUUCAUUCUUGACUCGGAGGGGUGGACCAUUUCCAAGUCUCUCCUUCACACCACCAAUCUGUCCAAUGGGAACUUUCAUCCAUCUUUCCAUAACCUCUUCGGCAACAGGCAACUCUGCUGAAACGCGGAGAAACGUAUAAUAUUCUGGAAAUGACACCGUCCCCCGGC
RNAcentral lists this long non-coding RNA (767 nucleotides) under Fukomys damarensis (Damara mole-rat). RNAcentral describes it as "lncRNA (ENSFDAG00000025481.1)". Lineage: Eukaryota; Metazoa; Chordata; Mammalia; Rodentia; Bathyergidae. The record is from RNAcentral.